This is a long non-coding RNA of Zalophus californianus (California sea lion), 375 nucleotides long. RefSeq lists it as uncharacterized. The record is from RefSeq and is a predicted model, not a curated record. NCBI's taxonomy places the organism in Eukaryota, Metazoa, Chordata, Mammalia, Carnivora, Otariidae. The transcript has 3 exons.
AAAAUCUUUGAAAAAAAGAACUGUGAGAUAAUACAUGUUGUUUUAAACUGCAAGGUGGACACAUUGCAUUCUAUUCGGUUCAACUUGACCCAGCACGGAUGUGAAGUCAGGCUGCAGGGUGGGAGUCGGCUGCAGCUACCCAUUUUCUAGCUGGAUGUGGGCUGCCUCCUAGAGAGGUUUCCAGGCUCCCGUUCUACAACCUGGAAUCCCAGGAGUUCGACUCAGAUGCAGAGUCUCAUUUUCAGAAGUGUCACAUCUGUAUAACUAUACAGCUGGGGAUAUCAGUAGCUCAGGAAAAGAACCUGGCACGAGCCCAACAUCUGAAUUUAGAAGCACCCAGCAGAAGAAAACAGCGGCUGCUCGCUGGAAGACAGG